Molecule: ribosomal RNA, 315 nt
Filed under: uncultured bacterium
Lineage: Bacteria
Description: bacterial SSU rRNA
Rfam family: Bacterial small subunit ribosomal RNA
Source: RNAcentral
UCAGGCCUAACACAUGCAAGUCGAACGGUAACAGGUUAAGCUGACGAGUGGCGAACGGGUGAGUAAUGCAUCGGAACGUGCCCGGUCGUGGGGGAUAACACUUCGAAAGAAGUGCUAAUACCGCAUACGAUCUGAGGAUGAAAGCGGGGGGCCGUAAGGCCUCGCGCGAUCGGAGCGGCCGAUGUCAGAUUAGGUAGUUGGUGGGGUAAAGGCUCACCAAGCCGACGAUCUGUAGCUGGUCUGAGAGGACGACCAGCCACACUGGGAGUGAGACACGGCCCAGACUCCUACGGGAGGCAGCAGUGGGGAAUUUUG